GAUGAACGCUGGCGGCGUGCUUAAUACAUGCAAGUCGAACGAAGCACUUUAUUUGAUUUCCUUCGGGACUGAUUAUUUUGUGACUGAGUGGCGGACGGGUGAGUAACGCGUGGGUAACCUGCCUUGUACAGGGGGAUAACAGUUGGAAACGGCUGCUAAUACCGCAUAAGCGCACGGCAUCGCAUGAUGCAGUGUGAAAAACUCCGGUGGUAUAAGAUGGACCCGCGUUGGAUUAGCUAGUUGGUGAGGUAACGGCCCACCAAGGCGACGAUCCAUAGCCGACCUGAGAGGGUGACCGGCCACAUUGGGACUGAGACACGGCCCAAACUCCUACGGGAGGCAGCAGUGGGGAAUAUUGCACAAUGGGCGAAAGCCUGAUGCAGCGACGCCGCGUGAGCGAAGAAGUAUUUCGGUAUGUAAAGCUCUAUCAGCAGGGAAGAUAAUGACGGUACCUGACUAAGAAGCACCGGCUAAAUACGUG
RNAcentral lists this ribosomal RNA (481 nucleotides) under uncultured bacterium. RNAcentral describes it as "partial 16S ribosomal RNA". It matches the Rfam family "Bacterial small subunit ribosomal RNA", at positions 28 to 507 of the family's 1533-position model. The record is from RNAcentral.